GAGGGCAAAGCUCAGUGGUAGAGUGCAUGCUUAGCAUGCACGAGGUCCUGGGUUCAAUCCCCAGUACCUCCA
Molecule: transfer RNA, 72 nt
Filed under: Camelus bactrianus (Bactrian camel)
Lineage: Eukaryota; Metazoa; Chordata; Mammalia; Artiodactyla; Camelidae
Also listed under: 2 other names
Rfam family: tRNA
About the family: Transfer RNA (tRNA) molecules are approximately 80 nucleotides in length. Their secondary structure includes four short double-helical elements and three loops (D, anti-codon, and T loops).
Source: Rfam by way of RNAcentral